UUGGCCCUCUUUCCUGUCCUAGG
RNAcentral lists this microRNA (23 nucleotides) under Sus scrofa (pig). RNAcentral describes it as "ssc-mir6". Lineage: Eukaryota; Metazoa; Chordata; Mammalia; Artiodactyla; Suidae. The record is from RNAcentral.